CAUUGCUGAUAACACCGUUGCUGCUGAAUCUUCUUCAGGUGGUGGUAAUAAAAGCUUUUCUCGAGUAUGGACAAUGCCAGUGGAAGGUUCAUCGAGUAGUGAAAGGGCUGAAUCAUCAA
Non-coding RNA from Camelina sativa (false flax), 119 nucleotides. The record is from RefSeq and is a predicted model, not a curated record. NCBI's taxonomy places the organism in Eukaryota, Viridiplantae, Streptophyta, Magnoliopsida, Brassicales, Brassicaceae.